AGAAACAAAACCAAAACGUUGCACGCAUGGUUUCUUGUGGGUGGGACAUGAUACCAAUGGUUUUAUGAAAAGGCUAGCUUUCCUGGUAGGUGGGACAUGUUACCAAUGGUUUUAUGGGAUGGCUAGCUGUUCCUGGUAGGUGGGACAUGCUACCAAUGGCUUUAUGGAAUUGCUAGAUGUUCCUGGUGGGUGGGGCAUGUUACCAAUGGUUUUAUGGAAUGGCUAGCUGUUCCUGGUAGGUGGGACAUGCU
This is a non-coding RNA of Pelobates cultripes (western spadefoot toad), 251 nucleotides long. The record is from the annotation of a GenBank genome assembly. NCBI's taxonomy places the organism in Eukaryota, Metazoa, Chordata, Amphibia, Anura, Pelobatidae.